Vitis vinifera (wine grape) is the source of this 2566-nucleotide RNA transcript. RefSeq lists it as uncharacterized. NCBI's taxonomy places the organism in Eukaryota, Viridiplantae, Streptophyta, Magnoliopsida, Vitales, Vitaceae. The transcript is spliced from 12 exons. The record is from RefSeq and is a predicted model, not a curated record.
AAAAUUUAAAAAGGAAAUAUCGAGGGGAAGAAGAAAGAGAAAACGGCCAUGCCUUUGUUAAUGGCGACGGAGAAACUCUUAAACUCAUCUCCAAAUUUCAGAGAUCUCGCUCUCUCCAACAUAGAUUUCAGGGAGUGAGAAGUUGAGAAGAAGAGAACUUAGGAUGUGUUAUGAAAAAGAGGACAAGCAAUGGAGUUGUGGAAAGGCUGGUUUGAGUUCUAUUAUGCGGGACAUUGGAGAGCCUUGUCUUCAUCAUUCACCUAUAAAGAUGAGCAAAAUGCUUAAACCAGACAAGUGGCAUGCAACUUUUAAUGGUGAAGGAAGGGUUUUUGGUUUUCAGAAAGCACUGAAAUUGAUUAUUUUGGGGGGUGUGGAUCCAUCUAUAAGGGCUGAAGUUUGGGAAUUUCUUCUUGGUUGUUAUGCAGUUGACAGCACCGCAGAGCAUCGGAGGCAACUAAGGACAGCCAGGAGGGAACGGUACAAAGACCUUAUCAAGCAAUGCCAAUUGAUGCAUUCGAGCAUAGGAACUGGGUCCCUUGCCCAUGUGGUGGGAUCCAAAGUCAUGGAUAUAAGAACAUUGUCCAAAGAUGAUAAGAAAUGGGAAGCUGGAGCAAAAAGUCAGCAAGUUUCCAAUGAUAAUACUAACAAAAUAGACAAUUACAGUGAUUGGAAUAAUAAUUGUACAGAUACAUCAUUUGCAUGCCCAAGGGAAAGUUCUAGUGAUUCUGCUGACUUUGUCAGCAUGAGGAGAAGCGCAGAUGGCACAGCACAUAACUCUUCUAGUCUUACACCUAGUUCUGGUCCAUAUGACUGCAAUUCCCCAAAACCAGGGAGUGAAGAGCAUGGAUCACAAUACAUAACUGGAACUUAUACUGAUGUUCCCUCAUUACCCAUCAUAGAUUUAGUUGAGAAGAGUGGAGAAGAAAAAAAUGAACAUGGUGUGUUUGAUGAUAGACUAUCUACACAACAUAAAUUGAGAUUCAAAGAUGAGAAUAUGCACCGUUUUCAAAUUAAUAACAAUGCAGAUUUAAUUCAGAAGUCAAAUGGUUCAGCAUCUAACAAUAUUUCAUAUGCUAUGAACUCUGAGAUUCAAAUGGUCCACUCUGAUGCCCAUGAACCAGUAUUGCAGUCCAAUAAUCUGGGACACAAAAAGGAAAUAAACAGACUCAGAAUAUCUAAUGUACCAGAAACACUGAAGAUAAAUUCAAGUAGAUCUCAAGGAGGGGCUGUGAGUAAGGACAGAGUGUCGGAAUGGCUUUGGACACUGCAUCAAAUAGUUAUUGAUGUGGUAAGAACAGAUAGUCAUCUUGAAUUCUAUGAGGAUCCAAAAAAUUUGGCUAGGAUGUCAGACAUUCUUGCUGUUUAUGCAUGGGUUGAUCCUGCAACAGGAUACUGCCAAGGUAUGAGUGACUUGCUGUCUCCUUUUGUCAUUCUCUUUGAGGAUAAUGCUGAUGCAUUUUGGUGCUUUGAGAUGCUUCUAAGAAGAAUGUGUGAAAAUUUUCAGAUGGAAGGACCAACUGGAGUGAUGAAAAAGUUGCAAGCAUUGAAGCAUAUUUUGGAGCUCACUGACAGGGAAAUGUUUGCACACUUGUCGCGUGUAGGUUCCGAAAACCUUCUUUUUGCCUUCCGGAUGCUGCUGGUUCUCUUUCGCCGGGAGUUGUCUUUCAGUGAUGCCCUUUGUAUGUGGGAGAUGAUGUGGGCUGCUGAUUUUGAUGAAUCUGUGGCUAGCAAUGUGGGAAGCCGUCUGGCACCAUUGGUGGUACAGCUUCCCUGGGAUUCUGGUGCAGAAUCAAAAAGAGAAAGCAUGGAGAAUGGAAAUGGUCACUCCAAGGGUGGCUUACAAUCAAAACAUGGAAACACAGAAGGCUCUGAUGCUGAUGAAGUUGCAAUAAGAUCAGUAUCAGCCUAUCCCCUUUGUGGCUUGACAAAGAAUUUUUGGUCGAAGAAUGAUAACAUGCAGAUUUGUGCUGUAGUCUCUUCGACAAGGAAUGCGAAUGAUGAAUUGCCUGUUUUUUGUGUUGCUGCAAUUCUCAUUAUGAACCGUCACAAAAUCAUCAGAGAAACCCGUUCAGUUGAUGAUCUGAUAAAAAUAUUCAAUGAUAAGGUGCUGAAGAUCAAUGUAAAAAGAUGCAUACAUAUGGCCAUCAAACUUCGGAAAAAAUACUUCUACAAGCUAAAGACCAAGAACCCAGGAGCUCCUCAUGUUGAUUAGAGUUGCUCCGCUUCUGUUUACUUUCUCAACUAAAGCUCAGUCGUGGCUCUGUGAGUUCAUUAUGAUUAAAAUAAGUAGAAGCACUUUGGCCUUUUGAAGAUUCAUACAGUCAUCCAUAGUUCAGUUCUGCUGCAAGCCAGUGGAAAGAUUGGAAUGUGGAAAGAAGUUGCAUUCAGUUGAUCAUGGAACAAUGAUGUAAAUCUCUUGCAGGUUAGCUGAACAUAUUUUUUCUCAUGUGUUAUAUUUGGACAGCCACUUAUGUAUCAACAAUUUUGAAACUUUUUUUUUUUUUUUUGUGUGUGUACAUGGAUUUUAAAGAACUCUUUGAUAUAAAAUGAUUGGAAAGUUAUAAUA